ACGACAGGGUGCCGCAUGGUUGUCGUCAGCUCGUGUCGUGAGAUGUUGGGUUAAGUCCCGCAACGAGCGCAACCCUUAUUGCUAGUUACCAUCAUUAAGUUUGGGGACUCUAGCGAGACUGCCAGUGAUAAACUGGAGGAAGGUGGGGGAUGACGUCAAAUCAUCAUGCCCCUUAUGACCUGGGCUACAAACGUGAUACAAUGGCUGAAACAAAGGGCAGCGAAGGAGCGAUCUGGAGCGAAACCCAAAAAAGCAGUCUCAGUUCGGAUUGAAGUCUGCAACUCGACUUCAUGAAGUCGGAAUCGCUAGUAAUCGCGGAUCAGAACGCCGCGGUGAAUACGUUCCCGGGCCUU
RNAcentral lists this ribosomal RNA (353 nucleotides) under uncultured Acholeplasma sp. RNAcentral describes it as "bacterial SSU rRNA". It matches the Rfam family "Bacterial small subunit ribosomal RNA", at positions 1030 to 1382 of the family's 1533-position model. The record is from RNAcentral. Lineage: Bacteria; Bacillati; Mycoplasmatota; Mollicutes; Acholeplasmatales; Acholeplasmataceae.